UUGCUCUUCAACGAGGAAUCCCUAGUAAGCGCAAGUCAUCAGCUUGCGUUGAUUACGUCCCUGCCCUUUGUACACACCGCCCGUCGCUACUACCGAUCGAAUGGCUCAGUGAGGCUUCCGGACUGGCCCAGAGAGGUCGGCAACGACCACUCAGGGCCGGAAAGCUAUCCAAACUCGGUCAUUUAGAGGAAGUAAAAGUCGUAACAAGGUCUCCGUUGGUGAACCAGCGGAGGGAUCAUUAUUAGAAGCCGAAAGGCUACUUAAAACCAUCGCGAACUCGUCCAAGUUGCUUCGGCGGCGCGGCCUCCCUCACGGGGGCGCCGCAGCCCCGCCUCUCCGGAGGUGUGGGGCGCCCGCCGGAGGUACGAAACUCUGUAUUAUAGUGGCAUCUCUGAGUAAAGAACAAAUAAGUUAAAACUUUCAACAACGGAUCUCUUGGUUCUGGCAUCGAUGAAGAACGCAGCGAAAUGCGAUAAGUAAUGUGAAUUGCAGAAUUCAGUGAAUCAUCGAAUCUUUGAACGCACAUUGCGCCCGCUAGUACUCUAGCGGGCAUGCCUGUUCGAGCGUCAUUUCAACCCUCAAGCCCUGCUUGGUGUUGGGGCCCUACGGCUGCCGUAGGCCCUGAAAGGAAGUGGCGGGCUCGCUACAACUCCGAGCGUAGUAAUUCAUUAUCUCGCUAGGGACGUUGCGGCGCGCUCCUGCCGUUAAAGACCAUCUUUAACUCAAGGUUGACCUCGGAUCAGGUAGGAAUACCCGCUGAACCUAAGCAUAUCAAUAAGCGGAGGA
This 786-nucleotide ribosomal RNA is filed under the name uncultured fungus. RNAcentral describes it as "eukaryotic LSU rRNA". The stretch from base 1 to 241 matches the Rfam family "Eukaryotic small subunit ribosomal RNA", at positions 1593 to 1831 of the family's 1831-position model. The record is from RNAcentral. Lineage: Eukaryota; Fungi.